UGAACGCUGGCGGUGUGCUUAACACAUGCAAGUCGUACGAGGUUCAUUCUCCUGUACACUCUCGGGUGUGCAAAAUGAACUGCAGUGGCGGACGGGUGCGUAACGCGUAAGAACUUACCUUUUGGAGGGGGAUAACAUUGGGAAACCGCUGCUAAUACCCCAUAAUGCUGAGGAGCUAAACGGUGAACAACCGCCAAGAGAGAGGCUUGCGUCUGAUUAGCUAGUUGGUGGAGGUAAUGGCUCCCCAAGGCGACGAUCAGUAGCUGGUCUGAGAGGAUGAUCAGCCACACUGGGACUGAGACACGGCCCAGACUCCUACGGGAGGCAGCAGUGAGGAAUUUUCCGCAAUGGGCGAAAGCCUGACGGAGCAAUACCGCGUGAAGGAAGAAGGCCCGUGGGUCGUAAACUUCUUUUCUCAGAGAAGAAGAUCUGACGGUAUCUGAGGAAUAAGCGCCGGCUAAGUCUGUGCCAGCAGCCGCGGUAAUACAGACGGCGCAAGCGUUAUCCGGAAUGAUUGGGCGUAAAGCGUCUGUAGGUGGUUCCCGAAGUCUACUGUCAAAUCCCAGGGCUCAACCUUGGACAGGCAGUGGAGAACUCGGGGGCUAGAGUACGGUAGGGGUAGAGGGAAUUCCCGGUGAAGCAGUGAAAUGCACAGAGAUCGGGAAGAACACCAGUGGCGAAGGCGCUCUACUAGGCCGUGACUGACACUGAGAGACGAUAG
Molecule: ribosomal RNA, 721 nt
Filed under: uncultured bacterium
Lineage: Bacteria
Description: bacterial SSU rRNA
Rfam family: Bacterial small subunit ribosomal RNA
Source: RNAcentral